Ictalurus furcatus (blue catfish) is the source of this 6054-nucleotide long non-coding RNA. RefSeq lists it as uncharacterized. The transcript is spliced from 3 exons. The record is from RefSeq and is a predicted model, not a curated record. NCBI's taxonomy places the organism in Eukaryota, Metazoa, Chordata, Actinopteri, Siluriformes, Ictaluridae.
UAGAAACGCCUCAUUGGUGCGUGCACCCGUCAAUUACGACAGCGCUCUAACGUGGGCGUCAUAACGGGGCUUUGACGUUAGAGGUGAUUGGUCAUCUGAUGGGUUUGACGUCACGGCGCUGCCAGCUGAUCGGAGGAGAAGCCGGUAUGAGAGGAGUAGAAGCGGACAGACUUCGGGAGCGGUGUGAAGACGGACGCACUGAGGCAGAGACAGACUAAUGGAACAAUCUUAUUUAAUCCAGUUAAUGACAAGGUAGUAGUUACUGUGGCUGCAUUUGACACUCAUUCGCUUAUAAACAGCUUUUAGUUCCACAGCGGCGCUGUGAAGUGUCAGCUCUGAUUUAGGGUUAAGGUGUGGCUUACUGCGAAAUGCGAUUUUCCCCGAGUCCCAUUCGGAUUUGAGUUUAAUCAAGGACUCGGUUUGUUUAUUGAAGAUAAAGUCACUUUUCAGGUAUGAUUAUAACCGGGUGGGAUUUUUAGGAAGGAAGCAGCCGUCUAGGCUACAAUGUGUUUAAACUAAUAAGUAAAAAAAAAAAUGUUGCAGCGCUCGGGAAAACUGUUAUAACGUUUCUGGCACGAUUUCUCGAUAACUACCCUAACAGGAAACAACACUGGAGUGUAAUAGAGGUAUAAUAAACAUGUUGUAAGCCUUGAGAAAGGCGAGUUGUUAGGAGACGGGGGGAUGAUCUGGGAGUUGAGCAGGGCGUGAGCGUGGAGUCGGGCAGAAGAGAGAGAGCGCUCCGUCAUGUCGGGGUGAGGAGCUCCUCGAAUAAACAACAAAACCAAUUACACAAGCCUGUGUUUAGGAGAAGUUUUGAAAGGGGACCUGCAUUGCUUUCGAAAGGAGACGCGGUGGCGAAGAUAACACUGAGAAAACAAUUCCUCUUGUGAAACUGCUGUAAGCAGUAGAAAUGUUCGUCUGUGCUUCUCAGUGCUACGAGGCGUAAUGGAUUUCUGCUGGUCUGACUGGCGGCCUGCUGGUCUGAAGGUUGAUCAUCUCCAUCUCUUGGAAUGUCCAGCGCAUGUCCGGAUGCCACUGGCUGACCCGCAGCAGUUCUUCACUGGCAAGCUUUAUGUCCUUGUGUAUCAGCUAAAGCUGCCAGCUGAAGAACUGUUGUGGUUGGCUCUUUCCUGGCACCCCAGCUUAGAACAAGACUAUCACAAGUCAAGAGUUGGAGGAAUAUGACACGAGCCAGAUGGUAGAGAAGUCAAAAUCAGUCUCAGGUCAGACAGGUCCUGAUUUUUAUCUUAAUUCGUUUAUCCACUGCAUCCCAAACCCCCCCCAGACCCCAUUUGGAAGGUGUCACGUGAGCUGUCUGGGCCUGGCUCUGCAUUCUCUGCAAGCAUAAACUAAACCUACUGGCAAGGCCCAUGCUGAGUCAGCAACAUUCCUGAACGGAUGAGAUGCUCCUGCCCUUAUUUGGGCGUGGAACAGGCGGGGAAACACCCUUUCAACCUCUCUGCUACUGAUCAAAAUGUUUUGCGGGGUUGAAAGAAGAACGGCAAUGCUCUUAUGGAUGUCACUGUGUUCUCUGGAUCAAAGCCCAGGCCUUCACAUGUGUUUCUGUUUAUGAAUAAGUCACCGGGUUCUUCCAGAGUAUGAACGAAGAACACACUCACUGGACUUGCAUCUGUAACUUCCCCUCAUUUUCCCCCGGGCCCUGCUGUGGUAUGUGAUUUUGGGUUUAUUUGUUCGGCUUAUGCAUACUGUGCAUGAGUACAACCGCCGACACUCUGGGAUACACACAUGCAUAUGCACGUGCGCGUGUACACACGCGUGCACGCACACGCACGCACGCACGCGCACACACACGCGCACACACACACACACACACACACACACACACACACACACACACACGCAUACACACACAUACACACUCACAGUGCCUGACCCUCAGCAAGCAAUAAACCUCACUUCAAGGGCAACAGCAGUGCCGAAAACAGGAUAUGAGAAUGUGUCUUAAGCCUCCCAGCCAGAUGAAAAGCGUAGUAGAAAAUGUUCUCGCCACUCAGCAGAACCAGAUGCCCGUGGCCUGAAAAGUGAAGACAACACUUUUUGUGUUUGUGCUCUCCUUCAUCUCUGAGGCUCAUUCAGGACUGCUGCCGAUGUCAUUUACCUUUUUUUUAUUGAUACCAGGCUUUUUAAAGAUACAUUCAAACUAAUUACGAAAUUAAACAUAUUGUUUACAUGCAUCUGAAUAUUAAUAAUCUUGUUUUUUUUUAUAUUGCUGAGUAGUAGCACUACACUAUGUUCAUAUAACAUAAGAAAGUGAAAAAUGGUUGCUUCGUUAAGUACAAAAAUAACAAGGAGGCAAUAUCAAAAUUUUAUAAAAAACUUUAAUUAAGGUGUUAAAAGUCAACAAUAAAUAUGAAACAUUACUGGUUUUCUCAUCUCAUCUUCACAAAGGCAUUUUUAAAAAAAAAUAUGUGCAUGCUACAUAGGGUAUAACACAACAAUAUGACCUUUUUAAUGCACAAUUGAAUGAUCUUUGAGAUGCAGUCACAAAACAUGACUACAGUAUGUGUCUGUUGAACUAGUUACAUGUAGGCCUAAUAUUACUUUCACUUCAUUGACUUUAUAUUUUUCAUUAAAAAUGGCACAGUUUAAACAUUUGUGAAAAUAAAGUGUUAUAAAUGCACAUAUUCAGAGCUUGUUUCACAUUAAACAACGUAUGUUAUUUCGAUAUGCGCUUUGAUAGACUUAAAGUAAAAGUUUAAUCUUGAAUCGUAAACAUUAGACUGUGAUUUUGGCUAUAAAUAUGGAAAUAUAUAUAUAUAUAUAUAUUGAAUGUUGAAGUGCAUUAUAAGUGAUUAUAACAUUACACUGUCUCUGUUAUUAAUAUUUUCAUAUAUAAUGUGAAUUUGCUCAACUGUGAAGAUUCUUGUAUGUAUAAAUUCUUUCAUAAUACAGAAGGCAUACAUUUCUUCUUUAGUAGCAGUGAAGGUGCACCAGAGACAUACUGCAUAUUCACAGUGGAGGAGAAACAAUUCAGUAAAGCAUGUGGGUAAUAAGUUAAAGGUUCACUAUAAUUAAUAUUUAGCCUGACUGUUCCACUGACCGUCUUCUGUCAGUCAUUGAGAAAUCACUGAGAAAAUGUGCUGAAACAGCAUACCCCCCCCCCCCCCCCAACACACACACACAAAUUGAACUUGUCAAAAAAAAGAGAAGUUAGAAAGAUCAAUUGCGAAAUCAAUUGCGUAGAAGGAGACUGGCAUUGCACAGCUUUAUGUAAUGGUUAAAAGCUCUGUGCUGUCACAGGAAGAGCAAUAGCAUUACUAAUGGCAAGGGUCAGAUGCUCUUCGAUAACCCAAUGAAGUGUGAUAUUGAUCAGUCAGCAGUGGGAUUUCAAAGCACUUGCUUUCAACACAUUAGAUAAUAUUUAAACUGGAAGGGGAUGUAUGAAGCCCAAAGCCCUAAUGCUUCAGUUCAUCUCUCAGUAAGUGUUGUCAUGACUAAGGACUUCCUUCAUAUGAAAAGUAGACAGAAAUGUUACAGAAGACACAAGUUACUCAAAUAAUGUUUAUGUGCCUAUGUUGUUUUUUUUCUGUGUCUGGUUUGAUGCCUGUCUUCAUGCCACCUGAAGAGGGGAAAGAGGGUUCUAAGGCAAAAUUCUCAGCACCAGGUUAAAGCUGCUUACCCAGAUUACCUCGAGUUCCAGGCAGACAGGAGAUCACUGCACCUGAUGAAACAUUCAUGUUGCGACACCGUGCCAGACCUCUUGCAAGCCUGCUUGAUCUUUGGCCCUGUGACUGAGGCUAACCGCUGCCGCCCUGUUCACCGGGUCAAUCGAACACAAGUUACCUGCUGUGCAGUGAGACUCACUUUCAGUCAGGUAGAUGUGGGUAAUGAGGUACUCAAUGGUCUUUUGUGUAUUAACAGAGUCAGUUGUUUAUUUUCCAAGUACUUAAAAAGUGACCCAGGCAAUUUCUCGCAAAAAUCCCAGCGCUUUAUGAUGACUCAUAAUCAGUUUACUCAGCAGAGGCCAUUUUGUGUGUGAAGCCUGAAAGGAAGCAGCACACAGACAUAAAGCAUGACUCAUGCCAAUGAGCUUUCUCACUCUGCACGUAGACAAACCAGACCCUCACACUUACAGUGUGUAGAGUAGAGUACACCAUGUUUCUGGAUCUGUUUUCAACUGUUUCAUGAUUCAUAUCAGUAUUGAGAUCCCAAAACCACACUUAUCUAUCUAUCGAAUGGCAUAGAUGGUGCGCUUUGAAUCAAAGCAGUUAUCCAGAAAUGUGUUCUUAUAUAAUAUGAUUGAAUAGGAUCAUAUGCCAUUAUAAAAGCAAGUGCACAUGCUUUGUGUUGUAAAUCAUGCCUCAAGCCCAGGAAAAUGUUUAAGACCUGUGAUCUCAGACAAAUGGAUGAGUCCAAAAUCUCCAGGCCUAUAAUAAACGGUAGCCUUAGUCUGGCCCGCUCAUUAACUACUGCUGGAAAAUACCAUGAGAGGAUGUCUGAAUACAUCCUGAUGACUCAGAGCAUAUGCACACCCACCGCCACCACCAUGUCUGAGUGACUAACUAGCCUCCUGUUCCACUGGAGCCCUGAACUGAUUUCUGUGAUGCAUACGGCAAAGCGAGGUCACUCGCAAUGUGUCAUGUUUAAUGUAGCCUCGUUGCCACGAGGUGGGAUGAGAGGAGAAAAAUGUGAGAGUAUGAGCCUUUAAGGGCACAACAGUGGGUGAAUAGGAUUCAUUGUGGGUCUUUAAUCUACUGUCUACCUCUGCAGUUAAUCCUGCUGAUGACGUCAGGACGAGAACGGUCAGGUUGAUUCUCUUCUCCCUUAAUGAUUAUGUAAUUCCAUGGAACAUAUGACAGGAGAAAUGUAAGAGCCAGACAGUUUCUUUAAAGAGGCAUGGUGCCUCAGCAAAUGUCUUCCUUCUGAAAUGUCUUGAUUUUUCUGUGCUCAGAAAUAUCACACAUGCUGCAGCCUACAGUUCAAAACAUUUACUUUGAGUAUUUUAAAAGCACUAUGCUCAUUAUCUCCUGCUGUAAUAAUCAAAGUGGGGUCUGCGAUUUUUAAUGACUUUAAUGAUGUUAUGAGAUCAGUAUCGGUUGCUGUUUACUGGUAUUUACUGGUUACUGGGUUUAUAAUUAGGCCAGUCACAUAUAGGUAUUUCCUUGAGGAAGUUACUCAUUUUCUAAUCUAAGAUUCAGUAUAUAGGGAUCUAACACAAUGUCACUAUCUCUAUCUGUUGUUAAACCUGAAGUGGGUGUGGCCUAAACUGAGUUUUUUAUUUAAAUAGAGAUGUGUGAGGGACUUUUUUUUUUUUUUUUAAAUUCUGCUCACUCUGUUGUUAUUAUUUUUGGUUUGUACCUGCCCACAGCAUUUUCAGUUAUUUCUGUUUCCCAAAAUAUAUACAAACUAGUAGCUUAAUUUAAAACAGUGCAUUCCUGACCAGAGAGUUACUAAGGAUGAAAGAACAAAUGCUGUAUAUACAUCACUCUAAAUGCAUUGUGCUCAUUCAUGUCAAUGGUCUUUCUUUGUUCCAAGUUGAGAGCUUCCAUCUGGCCACUCUGCCAUAAAGCCCAGAUCAGUGGAGUGUUGCUGUGAUGGUUGACCUUCUGCAAGUUUCAGAAGUGACCAUCGGGCUUCUUGGUCACCUCUCUUACCAAGGCCCUUCUCCCUCAAUUGCUCAUUUUGGCCAGGCAGCAAGCUCUAGGAAGAGUCCUGGUCAUUCUAAAGAAUUAUGGAGGCCACUGUGCUCUUGGGAACCUUCAAUGCAGCAGAAAUGUAUUUGUAGCCUUCCCUAUAUCUGUGCCUCGAAAAAAUCCUGUCAGCUCUGCAGGCAGUUACUUUGACCUCAUGGUUUGUUUUUUGCUCUGAUAUGGAUUUUCAGUGUUAGACCUUAUAUAGACAUGUGUGUGCCUUUCCAAAUCAUGCCCAAACAAUUUAAUUUUUCACAUGUGGACUCCAAACAAAAUGUAGAAACAUCUCAAAGAUGAUCCAGAGAAAUGAGCUGCACCUGAGCUAAAUUUCAAGUGUCAUAGCAUACUUAUGUCUGUGAUAUUUAAAUUUUUCCUUUUUAAUAAAUUUGCAAAGUUAUCACCA